CGCUGGCGGCAGGCCUAACACAUGCAAGUCGAGCGGAUGAAAGGAGCUUGCUCCUGGAUUCAGCGGCGGACGGGUGAGUAAUGCCUAGGAAUCUGCCUGGUAGUGGGGGACAACGUUUCGAAAGGAACGCUAAUACCGCAUACGUCCUACGGGAGAAAGCAGGGGACCUUCGGGCCUUGCGCUAUCAGAUGAGCCUAGGUCGGAUUAGCUAGUUGGUGAGGUAAUGGCUCACCAAGGCGACGAUCCGUAACUGGUCUGAGAGGAUGAUCAGUCACACUGGAACUGAGACACGGUCCAGACUCCUACGGGAGGCAGCAGUGGGGAAUAUUGGACAAUGGGCGAAAGCCUGAUCCAGCCAUGCCGCGUGUGUGAAGAAGGUCUUCGGAUUGUAAAGCACUUUAAGUUGGGAGGAAGGGCAGUAAAUUAAUACUUUGCUGUUUUGACGUUACCGACAGAAUAAGCACCGGCU
Molecule: ribosomal RNA, 469 nt
Filed under: uncultured bacterium
Lineage: Bacteria
Description: bacterial SSU rRNA
Rfam family: Bacterial small subunit ribosomal RNA
Source: RNAcentral